This 479-nucleotide long non-coding RNA is filed under the name Monodelphis domestica (gray short-tailed opossum). RNAcentral's name for it is "lncRNA (ENSMODG00000043112.1)". Lineage: Eukaryota; Metazoa; Chordata; Mammalia; Didelphimorphia; Didelphidae. The record is from RNAcentral.
CUCAGCUCUACAUAACAGUCUGUUUAGGUCUUUCUAAUAACAGAAUUUAGUCUUUUCUAGGCAAUGUCUUAUUGGUUUGGUUUAAUGCCAAAAGUUUUUUUUUUUUCCAAAGUACACAAGGGACUUUGCUAGCUCACUGGGAUUUUGAAAGUUGAAUCCUUUUGAAAUGUAUUUAAGACCAAUGGAAUUUAACUGCAUUGGCUAAUAGUAGCAAUGAGUUCAACAGCAACACUCCAGGGCUCUUGAUGUAAUGGGAAAAUAUCUUGGUGGUGGACAUUACCUCUUCACGACCUUAUUUGACCUACUUUGGACAUCUAAAAUGAGUGAAUUUGACAUAAGAACUCUAUAUACAUCUGAACAGGAGCCAGGCAUGUAGGAAUAAUGAACUGGAGAAAUUCCAUGUGAACUGGAACAACUUUCAGGAACUGAUGCAGUGAGAGGAGCAGAACCAGGAGAACAUUAUACACAGAGAUGGAAAA